Molecule: ribosomal RNA, 253 nt
Filed under: uncultured bacterium
Lineage: Bacteria
Description: partial 16S ribosomal RNA
Rfam family: Bacterial small subunit ribosomal RNA
Source: RNAcentral
UACGGAGGGUGCGAGCGUUAAUCGGAAUAACUGGGCGUAAAGGGCACCCAGGCGGGCUUUUAAGUGAGAUGUGAAAUCCCCGGGCUUAACCUGGGAAUAGCAUUUCAGACUGGGAGUCUAGAUUACUUUAGGGAGGAGUAGAAUUUCACGUGUAGCGGUGAAAUGCGUAGAGAUGUGGAGGAAUACCGAAGGCGAAGGCAGCCCCUUGGGGAUGUACUGACGCUCAUGUGCGAAAGCGUGGGGAGCAAACAGG